GUGCAAUGAUGCAUUUUAUUCACAAACACAUCAUUCUGAGAGUACAUGUGGUAACUCAUGACAAAAGAACUUAUGAAAGCCGGGCUCA
Molecule: small nucleolar RNA, 88 nt
Filed under: Carlito syrichta (Philippine tarsier)
Lineage: Eukaryota; Metazoa; Chordata; Mammalia; Primates; Tarsiidae
Description: Small nucleolar RNA SNORD63 (ENSTSYG00000031802.1)
Rfam family: Small nucleolar RNA SNORD63
About the family: snoRNA U63 is found in both humans and mice.
Source: Rfam by way of RNAcentral